AUCUCUCCUUUUCUUCUUUUCUUUUUGUGGAUGGAGUUACAAAGUUUGUUGAUCAGGGGACUGCUGUGGAAGUAGUGCAUCUCGAUUUCAGUAAGGCUUUUGACAAAGUCCUCUGUGAUGUUUAUGAGAGGAAGGUGGUAAAAUGUGGACUGAAUGAGGUAACUGUUAGGUGGAUUUGACUGACCAAACCCAAAGAGGACUCCUUCAUGGUUCCUCCUCAUCCUGGGGAAAAGUGACAAGAGGGGUGCUGCAGGGUUCUGUUCUGGGCCCGUUGUUGUUCAAGGUCUUGAUAAGUGACUUGGAUGAAGGAACUGAGGGGAUGCUCAUCACAUUUGCAGACAACACCAAACGGAUCAUAAUGGCAUCCUCUCU
Podarcis lilfordi (Lilford's wall lizard) is the source of this 372-nucleotide non-coding RNA. The record is from the annotation of a GenBank genome assembly. Lineage: Eukaryota; Metazoa; Chordata; Lepidosauria; Squamata; Lacertidae.